Molecule: ribosomal RNA, 802 nt
Filed under: uncultured bacterium
Lineage: Bacteria
Description: bacterial SSU rRNA
Rfam family: Bacterial small subunit ribosomal RNA
Source: RNAcentral
UCUGGAAACUNUCUGACUUGAGUGCAGAAGGGGAGAGUGGAAUUCCAUGUGUAGCGGUGAAAUGCGUAGAUAUAUGGAGGAACACCAGUGGCGAAAGCGGCUCUCUGGUCUGUCACUGACGCUGAGGCUNGAAAGCGUGGGUAGCGAACAGGAUUAGAUACCCUGGUAGUCCACGCCGUAAACGAUGAGUGCUAGGUGUUAGGCCCUUUCCGGGGCUUAGUGCCGGAGCUAACGCAAUAAGCACUCCGCCUGGGGAGUACGACCGCAAGGUUGAAACUCAAAGGAAUUGACGGGGGCCCGCACAAGCGGUGGAGCAUGUGGUUUAAUUCGAAGCAACGCGAAGAACCUUACCAGGUCUUGACAUCCCGAUGCUAAUCUUAGAGAUAGGAAGUUACUUCGGUACAUCGGAGACAGGUGGUGCAUGGUUGUCGUCAGCUCGUGUCGUGAGAUGUUGGGUUAAGUCCCGCAACGAGCGCAACCCUUAUUGUUAGUUGCCAUCAUUAAGUUGGGCACUCUAGCGAGACUGCCGGUAAUAAACCGGAGGAAGGUGGGGAUGACGUCAAAUCAUCAUGCCCCUUAUGACCUGGGCUACACACGUGCUACAAUGGUCGGUACAACGAGUUGCGGGCCGGUGACGGCAAGCUAAUCUCUGAAAGCCGAUCUCAGUUCGGAUUGGAGGCUGCAACUCGCCUCCAUGAAGGCGGAAUCGCUAGUAAUCGCGGAUCAGCACGCCGCGGUGAAUACGUUCCCGGGCCUUGUACACACCGCCCGUCACACCACGAGAGUUUGUAACACCCGAAGU